This 500-nucleotide ribosomal RNA is filed under the name uncultured bacterium. RNAcentral's name for it is "bacterial SSU rRNA". It matches the Rfam family "Bacterial small subunit ribosomal RNA", at positions 1 to 495 of the family's 1533-position model. The record is from RNAcentral.
CCCUUAGAGUUUGAUCCUGGCUCAGGAUGAACGCUAGCUACAGGCUUAACACAUGCAAGUCGAGGGGCAGCAUGAUUGAAGCUUGCUUCAAUCGAUGGCGACCGGCGCACGGGUGAGUAACACGUAUCCAACCUGCCGAUAACUCGGGGAUAGCCUUUCGAAAGAAAGAUUAAUACCCGAUAGUAUAGUAUUUCCGCAUGGUUUCACUAUUAAAGAAUUUCGGUUAUCGAUGGGGAUGCGUUCCAUUAGAUAGUUGGCGGGGUAACGGCCCACCAAGUCAACGAUGGAUAGGGGUUCUGAGAGGAAGGUCCCCCACAUUGGAACUGAGACACGGUCCAAACUCCUACGGGAGGCAGCAGUGAGGAAUAUUGGUCAAUGGACGAGAGUCUGAACCAGCCAAGUAGCGUGAAGGAUGACUGCCCUAUGGGUUGUAAACUUCUUUUAUACGGGAAUAAAGUGGAGUAUGCAUACUCCUAGUAGUACCGUAUGAAUAGAUGGUA